RNAcentral lists this ribosomal RNA (450 nucleotides) under uncultured bacterium. RNAcentral's name for it is "partial 16S ribosomal RNA". It matches the Rfam family "Bacterial small subunit ribosomal RNA", at positions 354 to 796 of the family's 1533-position model. The record is from RNAcentral.
GUGGGGAAUCUUCCACAAUGGACGAAAGUCUGAUGGAGCAACGCCGCGUGAGUGAAGAAGGGUUUCGGUUCGUAAAGCUCUGUUGUCGGGGACGAAUGUGCAGUAUUUGAAUAAAGUACUGUAAUGACGGUACCUGACGAGGAAGCAACGGCUAACUACGUGCCAGCAGCCGCGGUAAUACGUAGGUGGCAAGCGUUGUCCGGAAUUAUUGGGCGUAAAGGGAGCGCAGGCGGGAAGGUAAGUCGGUCUUAAAAGUGCGGGGCUCAACCCCGUGAUGGGAUCGAAACUAUCUUUCUUGAGUGCAGGAGAGGAAAGUGGAAUUCCUAGUGUAGCGGUGAAAUGCGUAGAUAUUAGGAGGAACACCAGUGGCGAAGGCGACUUUCUGGACUGUAACUGACGCUGAGGCUCGAAAGCCAGGGGAGCGAACGGGAUUAGAAACCCUGGUAGUCC